UGAGGAAUAUUGCGCAAUGGGGGCAACCCUGACGCAGCGACGCCGCGUGAGUGAGGAAGGCCUUCGGGUCGUAAAGCUCUGUCAAAGGGAAAGAAGUGCAUGGUGGUUAAUACCUGCCAUGUUUGACGGUACCCUUAAAGGAAGCACCGGCUAACUCCGUGCCAGCAGCCGCGGUAAUACGGAGGGUGCAAGCGUUGUUCGGAAUUACUGGGCGUAAAGGGCGCGUAGGCGGUUUUAUAAGUCAGAUGUGAAAGCCCACGGCUUAACUGUGGAAGUGCAUUUGAAACUGUGAGACUUGAGUACCAGAGGGGAAAGUGGAAUUCCCGGUGUAGAGGUGAAAUUCGUAGAUAUCGGGAGGAAUACCGGUGGCGAAGGCGACUUUCUGGCUGGAUACUGACGCUGAGGCGCGAAAGCGUGGGGAGCAAACA
RNAcentral lists this ribosomal RNA (428 nucleotides) under uncultured bacterium. Its description in RNAcentral is "bacterial SSU rRNA". It matches the Rfam family "Bacterial small subunit ribosomal RNA", at positions 355 to 774 of the family's 1533-position model. The record is from RNAcentral. RNAcentral also lists the same sequence under 1 other name.